AGCUGUGAUAGUAAAGCAAAAUUACAAUCAGAACCAAGUUUUACCCGUUAUGGUCAUUGAAAGCACUUACAUCUAUGGAAACAAAGAUAAUCCUUCAUCCCAUCAGCAGCCACUCACUCUUAACUAUACUGUCAGGGAAACAGGACUGUGAUUAACUCAUGAAGAAUUGGAAUGAAAAUUUCAAUGUUUUAAACACUGGGAAGCAAACGUCUCUCUCACCUUUAUGUCUUCUGAUGAGCAGCCAUGUUCCUGACAUGGUAAAGUUGACACCUGCACUAUUUUAGGUCAUUGAGCACUCCUUGAAGUAGGAAUCCAUUUGAAGAUGCCCCAUUAGGUGUCUUACAUAACCAGGAAUGACUGUGAUGCUAACCUUAUGAUCAGACAUAUGAUUCUGGCAGAGGUGUUUGAACAGUUACUCCUGUUACUCUGGUGUGCUUAUAGAUGCUUCUAGAAGGAGGAAUAAAUAGAUCUUCUCUUAAUUACAUUUAGAGAUUUGCAGAAGGAAACCUCGAGAGUGUUUGGAGUGCUUCUCCAGAGUUGCCCUGCCAGACUGUAGUUCAUCAGCUGGUGGAGCUCUGCUUUGCACUCCCUGAAGCAAAAGAAAUCAUAUUAAAGUCAAACUUACUUCAGGAAUAGCAGUGCCUGACAAGAAAUGGAGUGUCAAAUUCUCCAUUUCACUGAAAAUAGCUGCUACCCUACCACCACCAUCUGCCACUUAAUAUUGUUGUUUCCAAUUUAUGCUGGUUUGGGAUGCAAGAAAUACUUUGAAAUAAUUGUGCAGGUUUCUUGCAGUUAAACUUCAAGAGCAGCAGCUCUUUUCUCAUCCUUUUUCUGUGGUGCCACCCACCAUCCUGAUGGCUCCAGGAUUCUGUUGCUACCACAAGUCUGGCUGAUUGAAGUGAGGAGUUUAAUGUGCACCUUGUUGCCUUUUGUGAUCAUGGCUUCUGGGCAGUAAAGGUCAGCUUGCCACAAGUCAGCUUCACAUGACUUUCUACAGCAUGAUUUUGGUCUUCCAAAGCAGAGAAGCAGAGUGCCUACAGCUGAAUGCUUUCUCUUUGGAUUAUAACAGGAAGGGAUCAGAACUACAAAAACAAUAUGGCAAUGGCCUUGGUGGGAUUAGAAAGGUUAUUUACUGUUAUACCAUGAGGAAAACCUUUACACCUCAACAGGAUGAGAGUGAUGUGUACAUGCUUUACCCAAAAUCCAUCUGUACUAAUCAGCAUAUGUACUGAAAGGAAUGGCAGGGGAAACUCAUCUCUCCCAGGCUUCAACUCUCACACCUUGGGAACAGAAAGCAUGGCUUCUGCAAUGCUCUUGCUUCAAGGAGGGACUUUUAUGAGGGCAGGUAACAAUAGGACAAGGUGAAAUGGAUUUAAACUGACAGGAGGUAUGUUUAGAUUAGAUAGUAUGAAAAAAUUAUUCACUAUGAGAGUGGUGAGGCACUGGAAC
This is a long non-coding RNA of Catharus ustulatus (Swainson's thrush), 1449 nucleotides long. RefSeq lists it as uncharacterized. The record is from RefSeq and is a predicted model, not a curated record. The transcript has 3 exons. Lineage: Eukaryota; Metazoa; Chordata; Aves; Passeriformes; Turdidae.